RNAcentral lists this ribosomal RNA (492 nucleotides) under uncultured bacterium. RNAcentral's name for it is "partial 16S ribosomal RNA". It matches the Rfam family "Bacterial small subunit ribosomal RNA", at positions 29 to 507 of the family's 1533-position model. The record is from RNAcentral.
AGUGAACGCUGGCGGUAGGCCUAACACAUGCAAGUCGAACGGCAGCACAGUAAGAGCUUGCUCUUACGGGUGGCGAGUGGCGGACGGGUGAGGAAUACAUCGGAAUCUACUUUUUCGUGGGGGAUAACGUAGGGAAACUUACGCUAAUACCGCAUACGACCUACGGGUGAAAGCAGGGGAUCUUCGGACCUUGCGCGAUUGAAUGAGCCGAUGUCGGAUUAGCUAGUUGGCGGGGUAGAGGCCCACCAAGGCGACGAUCCGUAGCUGGUCUGAGAGGAUGAUCAGCCACACUGGAACUGAGACACGGUCCAGACUCCUACGGGAGGAAGCAGUGGGGAAUAUUGGGCAAUGGGCGCAAGCCUGAUCCAGCCAUACCGCGUGGGUGAAGAAGGCCUUCGGGUUGUAAAGCCCUUUUGUUGGGAAAGAAAAGCAGCAGGUUAAUACCCCGCUGUUCUGACGGUACCCAAAGAAUAAGCACCGGCUAACUUCGUG